AACUUAGCAGAGAUGCUUUGUGCCUUCGGGAACUCUGAGACAGGUGCUGCAUGGCUGUCGUCAGCUCGUGUUGUGAAAUGUUGGGUUAAGUCCCGCAACGAGCGCAACCCUUAUCCUUUGUUGCCAGCGGCUCGGCCGGGAACUCAAAGGAGACUGCCGGUGAUAAACCGGAGGAAGGUGGGGAUGACGUCAAGUCAUCAUGGCCCUUACGGCCAGGGCUACACACGUGCUACAAUGGCGCAUACAAAGAGAAGCGACCUCGCGAGAGCAAGCGGACCUCAUAAAGUGCGUCGUAGUCCGGAUUGGAGUCUGCAACUCGACUCCAUGAAGUCGGAAUCGCUAGUAAUCGUAGAUCAGAAUGCUACGGUGAAUACGUUCCCGGGCCUUGUACACACCGCCCGUCACACCAUGGGAGUGGGUUGCAAAAGAAGUAGGUAGCUUAACCUUCGGGAGGGCGCUUACCACUUUGUGAUUCAUGACUGGGGUGAAGUCGUAACAAGGUAAGCGUAGCGAG
This 514-nucleotide ribosomal RNA is filed under the name uncultured bacterium. RNAcentral's name for it is "bacterial SSU rRNA". It matches the Rfam family "Bacterial small subunit ribosomal RNA", at positions 994 to 1509 of the family's 1533-position model. The record is from RNAcentral.